RNAcentral lists this long non-coding RNA (277 nucleotides) under Homo sapiens (human). RNAcentral describes it as "non-protein coding lnc-ZSCAN30-2:1". Lineage: Eukaryota; Metazoa; Chordata; Mammalia; Primates; Hominidae. The record is from RNAcentral.
UAAUUCCUCAAAUGACAAAAUGAAUUUAUCUACAUUUCUAAUAAUGAAAUCAGCUUCAUCACUGGAAUGGGAUCCUGGUAGCAGACUUCUCAGUCAUCUUGCAGCAAUGUGGGAUGACCAGAAGACAGCAGCAGGAAUUAAACUAAAGCCAAGAAACUGAGCACAGCUCCUUGGACAAAUCUUAAUCUUGGCUGAUGCCAUAUCUGGUGGGGGUGAGCUGAAGUGUACUUCACUGUGCAUAGAGAGAGAAACCUGCUUUUGAAACUCCUUCCAGAAG